This 497-nucleotide ribosomal RNA is filed under the name uncultured bacterium. RNAcentral's name for it is "partial 16S ribosomal RNA". It matches the Rfam family "Bacterial small subunit ribosomal RNA", at positions 28 to 507 of the family's 1533-position model. The record is from RNAcentral.
GACGAACGCUGGCGGCGUGCCUAAUACAUGCAAGUUGAGCGAUGAAGAUUGGUGCUUGCACCAAUUUGAAGAGCAGCGAACGGGUGAGUAACGCGUGGGGAAUCUGCCUUUGAGCGUGGGACAACAUUUGGAAACGAAUGCUAAUACCGCAUAACAACUUUAAACAUAAGUUUUAAGUUUGAAAGAUGCAAUUGCAUCACUCAAAGAUGAUCCCGCGUUGUAUUAGCUAGUUGGUGAGGUAAAGGCUCACCAAGGCGAUGAUACAUAGCCGACCUGAGAGGGUGAUCGGCCACAUUGGGACUGAGACACGGCCCAAACUCCUACGGGAGGCAGCAGUAGGGAAUCUUCGGCAAUGGACGAAAGUCUGGCCGAGCAACGCCGCGUGAGUGAAGAAGGUUUUCGGAUCGUAAAACUCUGUUGGUAGAGAAGAACGUUGGUGAGAGUGGAAAGCUCAUCAAGUGACGAUAACUACCCAGAAAGGGACGGCUAACUACGUG